Molecule: unclassified non-coding RNA, 207 nt
Filed under: uncultured Gigasporaceae
Lineage: Eukaryota; Fungi; Glomeromycota; Glomeromycetes; Diversisporales; Gigasporaceae
Description: sequence contains 18S rRNA gene
Source: RNAcentral
UACGGUGAUUCAGAAACCAACAAAACAGGACCACCGUCCUAUUUUAUUAUUCCAUGCUAAUGUAUUCAGACGUAAGCCUGCUUUGAACACUCUAAUUUUUUCAAGGUAAAGGUCCUGGUUUCCCACCACGCUAAAUUAAUAACAUGAUGGUUCCCCAGAAGGUAGAGAUUCUACACGCUAGUACAGACUUGUUAGCCUGACCAACGG